UUCGCCGAGCAACCUGUGAAGUACGCCGCUGCCGGGCAGAGGGGAAAAGAAAGAUCUCCAUCGCCUGAUCAGAGGGACAGAAGGACAAUAUUCUCUUUGACUCGUGGGGGAAAAAACACGCCUCAACGUUUAAGGAAAUGGGGAGCUGGCCGUCGCCGUGUUUGUACAGUAUCCCAGAAUUGAGAAACCAAACACUGCCACAAGAGAGCGUCUUCCACGUUACCCAACGGACACCAUAGCUUCUCCUACAUGCUUGUAAACGGAAGGUCACAAAUCCACCACCUCACCGCUAGAUGUCACUUGAUCCUACACGCUGGUUCCUUCACGUAGUCGUGGACCACAUCGACCUCCUAUCUGCACGCAGCAGUGUGGAUCCCCUUGACCGCCCGUCUCUCAUCACUCUGUCGUCUGAAGUCCUGCAAGUUGAGAGAGUGGUUCAGAUGACUCCUCUCAGUCCGGGACUCCUCUGUCGUCCCUCCUCUUCUUCGGUCUCUGCCUCUGCUGCUGAAUCAGGAAACGAUUACAUCCUCGCUGUCCCUUCCCUUUAAUCACUUCCACGUCCCAUUCUUUAGAGAAUGUAUUUGACACUAGCUUGACAUUGUCCCUCCCUAAACUUAAAAC
Molecule: long non-coding RNA, 621 nt
Organism: Scophthalmus maximus (turbot)
Lineage: Eukaryota; Metazoa; Chordata; Actinopteri; Pleuronectiformes; Scophthalmidae
Exons: 3
Source: RefSeq, a predicted model, not a curated record